UGCAGUCGACGGUGACACGGAGCUUGCUCUGUGGGAUCAGUGGCGAACGGGUGAGUAACACGUGAGCAACCUGCCCCUGACUCUGGGAUAAGCGCUGGAAACGGCGUCUAAUACUGGAUAUGUGACGUGACCGCAUGGUCUGCGUCUGGAAAGAUUUUUCGGUUGGGGAUGGGCUCGCGGCCUAUCAGCUUGUUGGUGAGGUAAUGGCUCACCAAGGCGUCGACGGGUAGCCGGCCUGAGAGGGUGACCGGCCACACUGGGACUGAGACACGGCCCAGACUCCUACGGGAGGCAGCAGUGGGGAAUAUUGCACAAUGGGCGCAAGCCUGAUGCAGCAACGCCGCGUGAGGGAUGACGGCCUUCGGGUUGUAAACCUCUUUUAGCAGGGAAGAAGCGAAAGUGACGGUACCUGCAGAAAAAGCGCCGGCUAACUACGUGCCAGCAGCCGCGGUAAUACGUAGGGCGCAAGCGUUAUCCGGAAUUAUUGGGCGUAAAGAGCUCGUAGGCGGUUUGUCGCGUCUGCUGUGAAAUCCGGAGGCUCAACCUCCGGCCUGCAGUGGGUACGGGCAGACUAGAGUGCGGUAGGGGAGAUUGGAAUUCCUGGUGUAGCGGUGGAAUGCGCAGAUAUCAGGAGGAACACCGAUGGCGAAGGCAGAUCUCUGGGCCGUAACUGACGCUGAGGAGCGAAAGGGUGGGGAGCAAAC
Molecule: ribosomal RNA, 704 nt
Filed under: uncultured bacterium
Lineage: Bacteria
Description: bacterial SSU rRNA
Rfam family: Bacterial small subunit ribosomal RNA
Source: RNAcentral